AUAGGCAAGAUGUGGAAGUGGUGUGAGCCAUUAAGCUAACUUGUACUAAUUACCCGUGAGGCUUAACCAUACAACGCCAAACGCGUUU
RNAcentral lists this ribosomal RNA (88 nucleotides) under Pseudoalteromonas citrea. Its description in RNAcentral is "partial 23S ribosomal RNA". The record is from RNAcentral. Lineage: Bacteria; Pseudomonadati; Pseudomonadota; Gammaproteobacteria; Alteromonadales; Pseudoalteromonadaceae.